RNAcentral lists this ribosomal RNA (495 nucleotides) under uncultured bacterium. RNAcentral describes it as "partial 16S ribosomal RNA". It matches the Rfam family "Bacterial small subunit ribosomal RNA", at positions 28 to 505 of the family's 1533-position model. The record is from RNAcentral.
GAUGAACGCUGGCGGCGUGCCUAAUACAUGCAAGUCGAGCGAACAGACGAGGAGCUUGCUCCUCUGACGUUAGCGGCGGACGGGUGAGUAACACGUGGAUAACCUACCUAUAAGACUGGGAUAACUUCGGGAAACCGGAGCUAAUACCGGAUAAUAUAUUGAACCGCAUGGUUCAAUAGUGAAAGACGGUUUUGCUGUCACUUAUAGAUGGAUCCGCGCCGCAUUAGCUAGUUGGUAAGGUAACGGCUUACCAAGGCAACGAUGCGUAGCCGACCUGAGAGGGUGAUCGGCCACACUGAAACUGAGACACGGUCCAGACUCCUACGGGAGGCAGCAGUAGGGAAUCUUCCGCAAGGGGCGAAAGCCUGACGGAGCAACGCCGCGUGAGUGAUGAAGGUCUUCGGAUCGUAAAACUCUGUUAUUAGGGAAGAACAAAUGUGUAAGUAACUAUGCACGUCUUGACGGUACCAAAUCAGAAAGCCACGGCUAACUACG